Molecule: long non-coding RNA, 1458 nt
Organism: Corvus hawaiiensis (hawaiian crow)
Lineage: Eukaryota; Metazoa; Chordata; Aves; Passeriformes; Corvidae
Exons: 4
Source: RefSeq, a predicted model, not a curated record
AUUUCUGUAGUCUUUAUGGCUCAGUCUUGCUCUCCUGAGAUCCGAGACCAUUUCGGAAGCAGUGGUAGGUGCAUGUUUAGAGAUGACUUAUGCUGGGCAUCCUACAAGGACCUGGAAGCCUCAGCUGUCCCCACGUGGUGGUCAGCUGAAACUCUGCUUAUUUAAAAAUGAAAGAAGGCUAAAGAGAGUUUGGUGAACAGCUUGCAAAACGCAUCAAAAUAACAAUACAUGAUAACAUUUAAAAAAAUACUCCAGGAUAGGAGGCUUGCCCAGAAGUGGUAAAGCCCAUAGAAGACUGAGAUAUAGAAGAACUUGGACGAGGCCAUGGGAGAAAAACUGGAAUAGUUUUUUGUCAAUGUUCACCUUAAUGUAUUGUGGGGAGCACCUUUACUUGGGACUCAAAAGAAGCUUCAUGCCAAAAUGAAGUGCUGGUAGAAAAGCUUAUGGAAAAAGUCUAGGAAAUGAAGAGUUACAGUCAAGACUGGGUGCUAUUUAUGAUUGUGAAGCCAAGGAAGAACCAGCUGAACCAUUAUCAGUGGUGUAUUUUCCUCCUUAAGUAUGGCUCAUCAUCAGAAAACCAGGAGGUGCUGAAUUUAGUACCAACUUUUAUCAAAUGGCUGGCGAGAGCAAUGCAACAGCAAGUUUAAAUCUUGGUGAAAUUUAAUAGUAUCUCCCAGUUUCUGACACCCCAUUCCUGAUCUGCCCCGAAAGGCAGGAACAUCACCUGUGUAUCUUUUCAGAGCCACGUGCAGAUCUCAGUCUGGAUUCCAGGCAAAACCAGCUCAAGCCCCUCAGUUUGUCUGCAAUACCAGGGUCUUGGUGAAGCUCCACCUGCUCAGCUCUUGGUCAAGUGCUGCCCUCUUCCACCUGCUGCAGCAGCAUCCAACCUGGCACUCAUCUUCCACCCUGCCUCCAGCCUUCACCUCACACACAGCUUUGGAUGUCAGGGAAACCCCUGGUCUGGGAGAAGGUCACUCAUCUUUGGGAGCUACAACUCAUGAAAUUAUUUCUAUAAAACGUUAUUUGAAUUGAAUUGGCUGAGCUGUGCCGCAGAAUCACAGAACUGCAGAAGUUUUGAGGUCGGAAGGGACCUUUGGAGAUCAUCCACCCCAUCACUCCUGCCAAGGCAGGGUCACCUGGAGCAGGUGACACAGGAGCACAUCCAGCUGGCCUUUUCAAAGUUGCCUCUGGAAACGCAUGGGGCAAAUUCUGUGAUCCUUCAAGUGCUGACUAUAAACAGGCUGAUAAAGUCCAACCAAAGAUGAUGAGAGCUUCACUAACUGAUGAUGCAUCAUUGCUUCAGGGGAUGGCAGAUUGGUUUGUCUGCACACUUUGAGCUGCAUCCUUGGAAGACACUAAAAUGUGUGAAAUCCCUCAGGAAAAAAAAAAAAUUGAAAUUCUUUAUUAUCUCCUCUUCAAAACGCCCAGCAUCCAUCAGAGAAGGUGAGCAGCUUUACU